This is a long non-coding RNA of Oreochromis aureus, 2197 nucleotides long. The record is from Ensembl. Lineage: Eukaryota; Metazoa; Chordata; Actinopteri; Cichliformes; Cichlidae.
GAAACACUGAAAUUAUAAACUGUCAUAGUGGAAACAUGACAAUGCCAUUUGACUAUCUUGUUCAUACAGAUGGUGUCAAGACUUUUCAUUUUGAUGGCACUGGCAGUUUCAUUGACAUGGAUACUUGCUUUUGCGGUAUGGAUAAUCAAUUCUGUGCAUGUGACGUGCUUUUGCAGGCUAUCCACUAGGUUUUGCAGUUUGCACUAAUUGUUUUGGGAAAUGCACUAACUGCUGUGCAAAGUUUAAUUCUGUUGUGAGAAAUGCACCAAAGCAACGGAGAAAAACUGUAACUUCCUGAACCACAACCACUCCUGGUCAACCAAGCCAUUCCGGUCUACUACCUCUGACAUUGAGGAGACCCACUUUGAAAGAGCUAUGUCCACAUUGUGUUACAGUUUUUCUCCAUUGGUUUGGCUCAUUUCUUGAAACAGAAAUUACAUUCUCAAAAUAACAUGGACAAACCUCCAAACCUCUUGGCAAAUGUUCGCAACAGAAUGGCAUUUCACAUUCAUUUCAUCAAAUGGCAAAUGCCUUAGUACAUGUCUCAAUUGUCUCAAUGCAUCUUUGCAAAUGAUUAAGUACAAGUAGCCUACAGUUAUACAGUUAGCCCACAUUUAGCACAUUUUCCAAAUGAAUAGAUCCUGUAGAUCUAAACUGAUUAGUUGAUUCCCAGUCUAAUGAUCAUUCUCUCCAAAACAUGUCAGCAUGAUUUCACUGUAUAAGUACUUGCAUGCACAACUGUCUGUUCAAUUGUCAAAAUUGGUCAAGAACACAAUACCAUGAAUACCAUAUAUGAAUUUCUUUGAAUAUUUGAUAAAUUGAUGACAGUCAUUGACAGUCAGGUGAAACUAGACUAACGAAGGGGGAGUGUCACACACAGGUGUGUUCCACGAUUGUGCGCUGCCAAACACAGAUAUAUAGAGCUUGACCAGAGCCAGUCCGAUCUCUGAACAUGGAUAGACAAGGCCAAGCAAACGGAUAAGGGGAAGUUCUUCCUCAAGGAAGAGGAGGACUGAGAAUGCGUGGUGGAGGAAUAGGGGGAAGAGGCCGAGGUGUGCGAAGACACUGUGCUGUCCCGAAUGAAAUUCGGGCCACAAUUAUAGACCAUGUCAUAAACCAUGGCCUCACAAUGGCAGGUCGUCGAGUGCAGCCUAAUGUGCCUCACUCUACAGUCUCCUCCAUCAUCCAAACCUUUCGCAGGGAAAACAGGAUUGGACAACAACCUCGCGUGGGUGGCAGAGGAAAACUGCUCAAUGAACAACAGGAAAGAGAGAUUUGUAACAUGGUGAUGGCAAAUAAUGCCAUCACAUUGAGACAGAUCCAUGAUGCCAUCCUUCAGGACAAUCAUACAUCCCAGAAUAUAAACACAAUAAGCAUCUCCACGAUAGACCGGGUUUUGAAGAAGCAUCAGAUGACAAUGAAACAAAUCUACAGGGUACCAUUUGAGAGGAACUCUGACAGAGUGAAGGAGCUGCGCUACCAGUAUGUAAAUAGAAUAAUGGCAUUGGAAGGACAUGAGACCCCUCACAUCCUGGUGUUCGUGGAUGAAGCUUCAACCUGGCCAAGGGCCGAAGACGUGGCCGUAAUAUUAUUGGCCACCGGGCCACAGUGGAUGUCCCAGGUCAGCGAGGGGCAAUAUAACUAUGUGUGCUGCCAUUUCUGAAAAUGGUGUGGCCACUCACAUCCCCAGUCUUGGCCCAUACAACGCACACAAGCUCCUCAUCUUCUUGGAUCGCCUUUAUACCGAUUUUAUCCCUGAAAAUGAGAGCGGUCUCAUAGGGCCUCACCUACCCAUUUAUGUAAUUGUGUGGGACAAUGUCAAUUUCCACCAUAGCCCACUCAUUAGGGGCUGGUUUGCAACGCAUCCAAGGAUGGUCAUGGGCUUCCUACCACCUUACUCUCCUUUCCUCAAUCCGAUAGAGGAGUUUUUCUCUGCUUGGAGGUGGAGAGUGUAUGAGCAUCAUGCUCAGGAUCAGCCGUCCCUGCUCCAUGCUAUGGACGCAGCGUGUGAUGACAUUACAGGAGAUCAAUGCAGGGGAUGGUUGCGGCAUGCACGCCGUUUCUUCCCUCGUUGCAUCGCAAGAGAAAGUAUCCGCUGUGAUGUGGACGAGAAUCUGUGGCCAGACGGACAACAGCGUGUAAAUAAUCAGGAGGGUGAAGACAGUGGACAAGAGCGGGAGAAUGAGUACAGCGACCA